GUUAAGUUGACUAUUUGUGAGAUGAUACAUUGUAUAUUUGUUAGCAAUGUCUAAGUGUUUACUUUGUGAGAAUUGUAGCCAGCAGUAAGUGAGUUAAUUCUCUGUGUAUUGAUCCUAAAUAAUUGUCAGCAUCAUUUUUAAAACUCUGUGCGAUGUGUAACAUUCUGUGUGUGUAAUGGAACUCUAAGAUGAGCUCUAUAAG
Pelobates cultripes (western spadefoot toad) is the source of this 202-nucleotide non-coding RNA. The record is from the annotation of a GenBank genome assembly. NCBI's taxonomy places the organism in Eukaryota, Metazoa, Chordata, Amphibia, Anura, Pelobatidae.